UGGUGCAUGGUUGUCGUCAGCUCGUGUCGUGAGAUGUUGGGUUAAGUCCCGCAACGAGCGCAACCCUUAAGCUUAGUUGCCAUCAUUAAGUUGGGCACUCUAAGUUGACUGCCGGUGACAAACCGGAGGAAGGUGGGGAUGACGUCAAAUCAUCAUGCCCCUUAUGAUUUGGGCUACACACGUGCUACAAUGGACAAUACAAAGGGCAGCGAAACCGCGAGGUCAAGCAAAUCCCAUAAAGUUGUUCUCAGUUCGGAUUGUAGUCUGCAACUCGACUACAUGAAGCUGGAAUCGCUAGUAAUCGUAGAUCAGCAUGCUACGGUGAAUACGUUCCCGGGUCUUGUACACACCGCCCGUCACACCACGAGAGUUUGUAACACCCGAAGCCGGUGGAGUAACCUUUUAGGAGCUAGCCGUCGAAGGUGGGACAAAUGAUUGGGGUGAAGUCGUAACAAGGUAGCCGUAUCGGAAGGUGCGGCUGGAUCACCUCCUUU
RNAcentral lists this ribosomal RNA (494 nucleotides) under Staphylococcus aureus. RNAcentral describes it as "bacterial SSU rRNA". It matches the Rfam family "Bacterial small subunit ribosomal RNA", at positions 1039 to 1533 of the family's 1533-position model. Lineage: Bacteria; Bacillati; Bacillota; Bacilli; Caryophanales; Staphylococcaceae. The record is from RNAcentral.